UUUAAAAAAAGAAGUUACUGAAAAAUAAAAUAAAAUAAAAUAAAAUACUCUAAAAAAAAAAAAAAGAAUUGUCAUCUUCCAAACCUUAGACAUGGCCAGACAUCCCCAGUGGGCUGCCAAAUCCUGUCACCGUGUGCCUUCCUUAAUCCAACCAGGAACUGUGUUUUACCUUUCUACCCCACACUCCUCCCAAGAUGCUCAACCUUGGUUUCAUCAUUGUACAGAUGGCUGCAGACUCAGUUGUCCAACAUUCCCCUGGGGUGAGCUGAUGACCUGAACCCUAAGAACGCUCGAUUUGAGAACAAUGUGAUUUAGUGUUGUUUUUAAAGACACUAAGUUUUGCGGUGCUUUAUGAAAAGCAAUGGCCAGCUUGGAGAGUGAAGUGGCAAUGGGGGUCAUUGAAGCUCAACUGCUGUGGUCUUCCCAUCCUUCAAGGUCAAGGGCACUCAUCUGAUGUGUAGCCUGGGGGCAGCAACAGAGACUAAAAAUCCAGGGAAUCAAAUGAGGCAGUUCACAGCCAGGGAAGAGACUUCCAUAGGGAUGAGGACUAAGGCAGAUAACUCCAGGAUAAAAUAAAAGUGACUGCACUUUCUUGCACUGCUUGGAGUCGGCUACCAAGUAUGCUCAAGCAUUGCUAAGAGUAUCCUGAUGGACGGAUGCAAAAAAACAG
Molecule: long non-coding RNA, 670 nt
Filed under: Homo sapiens (human)
Lineage: Eukaryota; Metazoa; Chordata; Mammalia; Primates; Hominidae
Description: HSALNT0117079
Source: RNAcentral